RNAcentral lists this ribosomal RNA (253 nucleotides) under uncultured bacterium. RNAcentral's name for it is "partial 16S ribosomal RNA". It matches the Rfam family "Bacterial small subunit ribosomal RNA", at positions 524 to 776 of the family's 1533-position model. The record is from RNAcentral.
UACGUAGGGUGCAGGCGUUAAUCGGAAUUACUGGGCGUAAAGCGUGCGCAGGCGGUUUGCUAAGACAGGUGUGAAAUCCCCGGGCUUAACCUGGGAACUGCGCUUGUUACUGGCAAGCUGGAGUGUGGCAGAGGGGGGUGGAAUUCCACGUGUAGCAGUGAAAUGCGUAGAGAUGUGGAGGAACACCGAUGGCGAAGGCAGCCCCCUGGGCUAACACUGACGCUCAUGCACGAAAGCGUGGGGAGCAAACAGA